AAGCUUCGAACUAAAACUUUCUUAUUUUAGGUACCGUUUGGUUCGAAUAUAAGCAAUAACUAGCUAUUAGAGGAAUAGGUACAAGUAUGGGGAUAAGAAAAAUAGUAUUUGGAUGAAAAUUGGGUUGUUCCCGGGAUAAGAAUAAUUUUAGAUAGUUUUAUAUAGAAAAUAAAGGUGUUAGUGGGGAUAACCGAUAAUUAUUAUUUUCGAAUAAAAAAUUAGUGUUUGGGUAUAAAGGGGGAUAAGGGCCUAUUCCUAUUCCUAUCCCCUAAUCAAAUACUGUCUUACAAAAUUAUUUUAUUGUGGGCUAUG
RNAcentral lists this long non-coding RNA (312 nucleotides) under Ananas comosus (pineapple). RNAcentral's name for it is "long non-coding RNA (ACOM_LNC011162)". The record is from RNAcentral. Lineage: Eukaryota; Viridiplantae; Streptophyta; Magnoliopsida; Poales; Bromeliaceae.